RNAcentral lists this microRNA precursor (145 nucleotides) under Linum usitatissimum (flax). RNAcentral describes it as "miR156d stem-loop (lus-MIR156d)". Its record names the gene lus-MIR156d. Lineage: Eukaryota; Viridiplantae; Streptophyta; Magnoliopsida; Malpighiales; Linaceae. The record is from miRBase by way of RNAcentral.
GUUUUUGUGUAGAUACAUACAUACAUGUAUUGACAGAAGAAAGAGAGCACAACUGAACAUCCCCAGGGAAAUGGCCUGUGUUUCUUCAGCCUUUUGUGCUCUCUUCUUCUUCUGUCAAUAACUGCUGUAAAUUCAUACCAAAUAC